RNAcentral lists this ribosomal RNA (497 nucleotides) under uncultured bacterium. Its description in RNAcentral is "partial 16S ribosomal RNA". It matches the Rfam family "Bacterial small subunit ribosomal RNA", at positions 28 to 507 of the family's 1533-position model. The record is from RNAcentral.
GAUGAACGCUGGCGGCGUGCCUAAUACAUGCAAGUCGAGCGAACAGACGAGGAGCUUGCUCCUCUGACGUUAGCGGCGGACGGGUGAGUAACACGUGGAUAACCUACCUAUAAGACUGGGAUAACUUCGGGAAACCGGAGCUAAUACCGGAUAAUAUAUUGAACCGCAUGGUUCAAUAGUGAAAGACGGUUUUGCUGUCACUUAUAGAUGGAUCCGCGCCGCAUUAGCUAGUUGGUAAGGUAACGGCUUACCAAGGCAACGAUGCGUAGCCGACCUGAGAGGGUGAUCGGCCACACUGGAGCUGAGACACGGUCCAGACUACUACGGGAGGCAGCAGUAGGGAAUCGUCCGCAAUGGGCGAAAGCCUGACGGAGCAACGCGGCGUGAGUGAUGAAGGUCUUCGGAUCGUAAAACUCUGUUAUUAGGGAAGAACAAAUGUGUAAGUAACUAUGCACGUCUUGACGGUACCUAAUCAGAAAGCCACGGCUAACUACGUG